RNAcentral lists this ribosomal RNA (253 nucleotides) under uncultured bacterium. RNAcentral's name for it is "partial 16S ribosomal RNA". It matches the Rfam family "Bacterial small subunit ribosomal RNA", at positions 524 to 776 of the family's 1533-position model. The record is from RNAcentral.
UACGUAGGGUGCAAGCGUUGUCCGGAAUUAUUGGGCGUAAAGAGCUCGUAGGCGGUUUGUCGCGUCGGUUGUGAAAGCCCGGGGCUUAACCCUGGGUCUGCAGUCGAUACGGGCAGGCUAGAGUUCGGUAGGGGAGACUGGAAUUCCUGGUGUAGCGGUGAAAUGCGCAGAUAUCAGGAGGAACACCGGUGGCGAAGGCGGGUCUCUGGGCCGAUACUGACGCUGAGGAGCGAAAGCGUGGGGAGCGAACAGG